RNAcentral lists this ribosomal RNA (253 nucleotides) under uncultured bacterium. RNAcentral describes it as "partial 16S ribosomal RNA". It matches the Rfam family "Bacterial small subunit ribosomal RNA", at positions 524 to 776 of the family's 1533-position model. The record is from RNAcentral.
UACGUAGGGUGCAAGCGUUUAUCGGAAUUACUGGGCGUAAAGCGUGCGCAGGCGGCUAUGCAAGACAGAUGUGAAAUCCCCGGGCUCAACCUGGGAACUGCAUUUGUGACUGCAUGGCUAGAGUACGGCAGAGGGGGAUGGAAUUCCGCGUGUAGCAGUGAAAUGCGUAGAUAUGCGGAGGAACACCGAUGGCGAAGGCAAUCCCCUGGACCUGUACUGACGCUCAUGCACGAAAGCGUGGGGAGCAAACAGG